Molecule: unclassified non-coding RNA, 263 nt
Filed under: Coenogonium luteum
Lineage: Eukaryota; Fungi; Ascomycota; Lecanoromycetes; Ostropales; Coenogoniaceae
Description: partial contains 5.8S ribosomal RNA, internal transcribed spacer 2, and large subunit ribosomal RNA
Source: RNAcentral
CGCACAUUGCGCCCUCUGGCAUUCCGGGGGGCACGCCUGUUCGAGCGUCAUUGUCUCAAUCAAGCCCGGCUUGGUAUUGGGUGCCUUCCGGACGGGAGCGCCCGAAACGCAGCGGCUCGGCGGUCCGGGGAAGAACGCACUGGAAAAAUGGUCGCCCGACCACCGUUCUCGCCCCCGGGCGGUCGUCGCCGUCGAACGUGACUUCGCGCACACCCGAUCGAAAAAUUGACCUCGGAUCAGGCGGGAAUACCCGCUGAACUUAA